This 376-nucleotide ribosomal RNA is filed under the name uncultured bacterium. Its description in RNAcentral is "bacterial SSU rRNA". It matches the Rfam family "Bacterial small subunit ribosomal RNA", at positions 28 to 406 of the family's 1533-position model. The record is from RNAcentral.
GAUGAACGCUAGCGGCAGGCUUAACACAUGCAAGUCGAGGGGUAUAGUUCUUCGGAAUUAGAGACCGGCGCACGGGUGCGUAACGCGUAUGCAAUCUACCUUUCACAGAGGGAUAGCCCCAGAGAAAUUUGGAUUAAUACCCCAUAGUAUAGCAGUUUCGCAUGAAACCACUAUUAAAGUCACAACGGUGAAAGAUGAGCAUGCGUCCCAUUAGCUAGUUGGUAAGGUAACGGCUUACCAAGGCAACGAUGGGUAGGGGUCCUGAGAGGGAGAUCCCCCACACUGGUACUGAGACACGGACCAGACUCCUACGGGAGGCAGCAGUGAGGAAUAUUGGACAAUGGGCGCAAGCCUGAUCCAGCCAUGCCGCGUGCGA